Molecule: ribosomal RNA, 416 nt
Filed under: Bradyrhizobiaceae bacterium Ellin7239
Lineage: Bacteria; Pseudomonadati; Pseudomonadota; Alphaproteobacteria; Hyphomicrobiales; Nitrobacteraceae
Description: bacterial SSU rRNA
Rfam family: Bacterial small subunit ribosomal RNA
Source: RNAcentral
AGCGAACGCUGGCGGCAGGCCUAAAACAUGCAAGUCGAACGCCGUAGCAAUACGGAGUGGCAGACGGGUGAGUAACGCGUGGGAACGUACCCUUUGGUUCGGAACAACACAGGGAAACUUGUGCUAAUACCGGAUAAGCCCUUACGGGGAAAGAUUUAUCGCCAAAGGAUCGGCCCGCGUCUGAUUAGCUUGUUGGUGAGGUAACGGCUCACCAAGGCUACGAUCAGUAGCUGGUCUGAGAGGAUGAUCAGCCACACUGGGACUGAGACACGGCCCAGACUCCUACGGGAGGCAGCAGUUAGGAAUCUUGGACAAUGGGCGCAAGCCUGAUCCAGCCAUGCCGCGUGAGUGAUGAAGGCCUUAGGGUUGUAAAGCUCUUUCAGCGGGGAAGAUAAUAACGGUACCCGCAGAAGAAG